Molecule: transfer RNA, 76 nt
Filed under: Sulfurovum sp.
Lineage: Bacteria; Pseudomonadati; Campylobacterota; Epsilonproteobacteria; Campylobacterales; Sulfurovaceae
Also listed under: 3 other names
Description: tRNA-Val
Rfam family: tRNA
About the family: Transfer RNA (tRNA) molecules are approximately 80 nucleotides in length. Their secondary structure includes four short double-helical elements and three loops (D, anti-codon, and T loops). Further hydrogen bonds mediate the characteristic L-shaped molecular structure. tRNAs have two regions of fundamental functional importance: the anti-codon, which is responsible for specific mRNA codon recognition, and the 3' end, to which the tRNAs corresponding amino acid is attached (by aminoacyl-tRNA synthetases). tRNAs cope with the degeneracy of the genetic code in two manners: having more than one tRNA (with a specific anti-codon) for a particular amino acid; and 'wobble' base-pairing, i.e. permitting non-standard base-pairing at the 3rd anti-codon position.
Source: RNAcentral
GGUCGCGUAGCUCAGUUGGUAGAGCACCACCUUGACAUGGUGGUGGUCGAUGGUUCGAGUCCAUUCGUGGCCACCA